CCUACGGGAGGCAGCAGUGAGGAAUAUUGGUCAAUGGGCGCGAGCCUGAACCAGCAAAGUAGCGUGAAGGAUGACUGCCCUACGGGUUGUAAACUUCUUUUAUAAAGGAAUAAAGUGCGGCACGUGUGCCUUUUUGUAUGUACUUUAUGAAUAAGGAUCGGCUAACUCCGUGCCAGCAGCCGCGGUAAUACGGAGGAUCCGAGCGUUAUCCGGAUUUAGUGGGUUUAAAGGGAGCGUAGAUGGGUUGUUAAGUCAGUUGUGAAAGUUUGCGGCUUAACCGUAAAAUUGCAAUUGAUACUGGCAGUCUUGAGUACAGUAGAGGUAGGUGGAAUUCGUGGUGUAGCGGUGAAAUGCUUAGAGAUCACGAAGAACUCCGAUUGCGAAGGCAGCUUACUAAACUGCCACUGACAUUGAUGCGCGAAAGUGUGGGUAUCAAACAGGAUUAGAUACCCGAGUAGUC
RNAcentral lists this ribosomal RNA (460 nucleotides) under uncultured bacterium. RNAcentral's name for it is "partial 16S ribosomal RNA". It matches the Rfam family "Bacterial small subunit ribosomal RNA", at positions 338 to 795 of the family's 1533-position model. The record is from RNAcentral.